CUUUUUCAAUCAAUCAGCAUCAACAUCACUUCACCUGCAAAAACCAAUUCAAAAUCAAAAAACAGCUUAUUCAAAAAGCACUUUUCAAAAGCGCUUAAAAAACUGAAAAAUAACUAAACAAAUUACUCAGUUUGAAGCUUUGUCCAUAAGGUUAACAUAAACAUCCAAAAAGCACUUUUGGCAUUAGCUUAAAACAGAAUAAACCAAAUCCCACAUAAUCUAGGAUGGAAAAUUCAAAAAGCAAGGAGUUUCUUAAAGACCGAAUCUGAUCUUCAAAAACGAAAGAGGGGAGAUUAACAGCAAGAACAACAACAAUAACAGGAACGAUAUUUUUUCUCAAAAGAACCUAAUCAAGGACAACAACAACAUAAACAUGGCCAAGCAAUUCUUCAAAAAAACCUAAAACCAAAACGAAUACAGCAAGACAUCAACAAUACAACAUUAAAACAAACAGAAACCAAAUUGAAACGACGCUACCGGAAACGCAACCCCCAACCGCCGCCGUCACAACCGUCUCACCACCAUCAACCCUCACUAACCUCAAUCGCAACGGUAACAGAAACAAAGGAAAAGAGAAGAAGGAUUUGGCGAGCACCGUCGCGAAACACAAGAGGAAGGAGAUUGUAUUGACGUCGCGAUUUAACGUCAUCUAUCUUUGUUUAUACAACUGCGUGAUUCGAGCAAGCAAGGCGAUUAUCUGUGAAUCGGAGAGUGUGUCGUUGACGAGCGCCGGCGUGAAGGGAGCACAUCCGUAACGGAGGUGCUGGCUUGCGAUGAUGGUGAAUCAGGAUUACGUUAGCAUCUGAGAACGGCGAAGUGAUGAGGCGCGGUGAAGAUGCUGAGGCGAAGGUUAUUGAUUUUGACUGUUUUUUCAUAAUCGCUUUUUUCUUCUCCCUAUUUCAGCUUGUGUGGUGAAUGUUGAUGUUAACCUCUUUGAAGCAUUGGGCCUCAGGCCCAAAACAGGCUCUCUACA
Molecule: long non-coding RNA, 973 nt
Filed under: Lathyrus oleraceus (garden pea)
Lineage: Eukaryota; Viridiplantae; Streptophyta; Magnoliopsida; Fabales; Fabaceae
Description: Pisum sativum (pea) long non-coding RNA (PSAT_LNC031412)
Source: RNAcentral